RNAcentral lists this ribosomal RNA (382 nucleotides) under uncultured eukaryote. RNAcentral's name for it is "partial 18S ribosomal RNA". It matches the Rfam family "Eukaryotic small subunit ribosomal RNA", at positions 592 to 976 of the family's 1831-position model. The record is from RNAcentral.
CAAUAGCGUAUAUUAAAGUUGUUGCAGUUAAGAAGCUCGUAGUUGGAUUUCUGGUUGAAGCGACCGGCCGGGCGUUGAUUCGUCUGCACUGGAGUCGGUUUUGGCCAUCCUCUAGGAAAGUGCGUCUGGUAUUAAGUUAUCGGGCGUAUGAUCCUGGUCUUUUACUGUGAAAAAAUUAGAGUGUUUAAAGCAGGCCUUCGCCUUGAAUACAUUAGCAUGGAAUAAUAAGAUAGGACUUUGGUCUAUUUUGUUGGUUUGCAGACCGAAGUAAUGAUUAAUAGGGAUAGUUGGGGGUAUUUAUAUUCCGAUGUCAGAGGUGAAAUUCUUAGAUUUUCGGAAGAUAAACUUAUGCGAAAGCAUUUACCAAGGAUGUUUUCAUUAA